RNAcentral lists this ribosomal RNA (281 nucleotides) under Pseudo-nitzschia fraudulenta. Its description in RNAcentral is "partial 28S ribosomal RNA". It matches the Rfam family "Eukaryotic large subunit ribosomal RNA", at positions 186 to 475 of the family's 3401-position model. The record is from RNAcentral. Lineage: Eukaryota; Bacillariophyta; Bacillariophyceae; Bacillariales; Bacillariaceae.
UUCCUUGGAAAAGGACAGCUGAGAGGGUGAAACUCCCGUCCGCCUGGUAGAAUGAGUCUUUGUCAACGAGUCGAGUUGUUUGGGAUUGCAGCUCUAAUUUGGUGGUAAAUUCCAUCUAAAGCUAAAUAUUGGUGGGAGACCGAUAGCGUACAAGUACCGUGAGGGAAAGAUGCAAAGAACUUUGAAAAGAGAGUUAAAGAGUACUUGAAAUUGCUGAAACGGAAGCGAAGGAAACCAGUGUUUGUUGGUUCAUAUUUCCUUGGCCACUUGUGGUUUGGGCG